RNAcentral lists this ribosomal RNA (454 nucleotides) under uncultured bacterium. Its description in RNAcentral is "bacterial SSU rRNA". It matches the Rfam family "Bacterial small subunit ribosomal RNA", at positions 1 to 439 of the family's 1533-position model. The record is from RNAcentral.
CCCUUAGAGUUUGAUCCUGGCUCAGGAUGAACGCUGGCGGCGUGCUUAACACAUGCAAGUCGAGCGAAGCACUUAUGAAAGAUUCUUCGGAUGAUUUCAUUUGUGACUGAGCGGCGGACGGGUGAGUAACGCGUGGGUAACCUGCCUCAUACAGGGGGAUAACAGUUGGAAACGACUGCUAAUACCGCAUAAGCGCACAGUACCGCAUGGUACAGUGUGAAAAACUCCGGUGGUAUGAGAUGGACCCGCGUCUGAUUAGCUAGUUGGUGGGGUAACGGCCUACCAAGGCGACGAUCAGUAGCCGACCUGAGAGGGUGACCGGCCACAUUGGGACUGAGACACGGCCCAAACUCCUACGGGAGGCAGCAGUGGGGAAUAUUGCACAAUGGGGGAAACCCUGAUGCAGCAACGCCGCGUGAGUGAAGAAGUAUUUCGGUAUGUAAAGCUCUAUCAG